UGCAAGUCGAACGGCAGCAUGAUCUAGCUUGCUAGAUUGGUGGCGAGUGGCGAACGGGUGAGUAAUACAUCGGAACGUGCCCUGUAGUGGGGGAUAACUAGUCGAAAGAUUAGCUAAUACCGCAUACGACCUGAGGGUGAAAGUGGGGGACCGCAAGGCCUCAUGCUAUAGGAGCGGCCGAUGUCUGAUUAGCUAGUUGGUGAGGUAAAGGCUCACCAAGGCGACGAUCAGUAGCUGGUCUGAGAGGACGAUCAGCCACACUGGGACUGAGACACGGCCCAGACUCCUACGGGAGGCAGCAGUGGGGAAUUUUGGACAAUGGGGGCAACCCUGAUCCAGCAAUGCCGCGUGUGUGAAGAAGGCCUUCGGGUUGUAAAGCACUUUUGUCCGGAAAGAAAUCGCACUUACUAAUAUUAGGUGUGGAUGACGGUACCGGAAGAAUAAGGACCGGCUAACUACGUGCCAGCAGCCGCGGUAAUACGUAGGGUCCAAGCGUUAAUCGGAAUUACUGGGCGUAAAGCGUGCGCAGGCGGUUGUGCAAGACCGAUGUGAAAUCCCCGGGCUUAACCUGGGAAUUGCAUUGGUGACUGCACGGCUAGAGUGUGUCAGAGGGGGGUAGAAUUCCACGUGUAGCAGUGAAAUGCGUAGAGAUGUGGAGGAAUACCGAUGGCGAA
This 674-nucleotide ribosomal RNA is filed under the name uncultured bacterium. RNAcentral's name for it is "bacterial SSU rRNA". It matches the Rfam family "Bacterial small subunit ribosomal RNA", at positions 56 to 719 of the family's 1533-position model. The record is from RNAcentral.